This 75-nucleotide transfer RNA is filed under the name Oceanobacillus profundus. RNAcentral describes it as "tRNA-Gln". It matches the Rfam family "tRNA". Rfam says of the family: Transfer RNA (tRNA) molecules are approximately 80 nucleotides in length. RNAcentral also lists the same sequence under 8 other names. The record is from RNAcentral. Lineage: Bacteria; Bacillati; Bacillota; Bacilli; Caryophanales; Bacillaceae.
UGGGCUGUAGCCAAGCGGUAAGGCAUCGGGUUUUGAUCCCGUGUACCCUAGGUUCGAAUCCUAGUAGCCCAGCCA